CAAGCUCCCGGCCCGGCCCGGGGAGGAGCUCGCGGCUCAUUGCCAGCCGGGGAAGGAGGAGGAGGAGGGAGAUGAUUGACAGCGCGCUUGACUCACCCCGCCGGCCGGGCCCGAGAAAACUUUCAAGAGGAGGGAGCGGGAGGGGGAGGGGAGGCAAAGCCCGCUCGGAGCCUGCGCUGGGCUCUGGGUACGAGGAGGAAAGUUUUUCAAAGCUCCCCUCCCCCCCCCCGACGUGCAUGUGCAACUUGGUUGUGAUUAGAAGGAGGGGGAAGGGCCCGCGCUCCUUUGUGAGUGCUGGAAUUAUGCAAUGGGUGGUGACAUCACUCGCUGCACCCACUUUGGGCUGCUUCCCCCCAGCUCAGCUUGCACUGAACUUUUGCAAAACGGCCCAGGCGAGAGCUGUGUCUUUGCAGCAGGCUCUGCGAGUGCCCAGAUCCCCCGCCCCCCAGGUAGUUUCCCCGCUUUCCUUCUCGUGUGCAGGAAAGAAACGGCAACUUCAGCUGUUUGUAAAGGCAGGCAGGGUGUGCGCGCAAGAGUAGGUGCGUAGUUGUGGUCUGGUCGGGGGUAGCAGAAAAACAAAACAAAACUGAUCUUUGCAGAGACUCAUUUUCCGAAAUUUCUCCCAGCUGUAAUUACCGUGAAACUAAAGAGGAAGGACUGUUCGUGUUUGUUUGCAUGAUAUUGAUUCUGUGAGCUAGGUCGUAACGUUUGCUUUUUUCGAUUGAAGCUUUUUCCUCUCUGCUGGACACCAGUUGCAUGCUUACGUGUUGGAGAUUUUUUUUCCCCAAGGAGAUCUAUUUCAUCAGGAAAACAGGGGCCCAGUUUUUAUCUGCUUAGCUUUUCUUCUGCCUGACCAACACGUUCGCAGAUUUUUAUUUAAGAUGGUGUCUGCGAAGGCGAUCAGAUAGCAAGUGACACUGACAAAAAACAAGAGGCCCUCUCGAUUUCCCCCCUUUGCUCGAUCGAAAGCUGGAGUACUAUUUGGUGUGUUUGCACGGGGUGCGCUUUCUGCAUGAGUACCCGUUGCAUUCUGUGCUCCCCGCCCUUCUCCUCUUUGAAUGGAACAGAUGGUUUUUCAGUCCAUCCAGGUUUCAUUUCACUCUUGUUAUUAAUUUUUUUCUUCUUUUGGCGGGAUGACAAAGGAGCGGGGCACAUGGAUUGAAACAUGACAGACUGACUAAAAAAAACAACCCAUAAACUUGUUUAUCUGCUAUUUGCAUCAGGAAAGCAACACGUUUGCAAAAGCUGAUCAGUUUCCCCUCUGCCCCUCUGAAGUUCUGAAAUGGAAGACUAGACUGAAGUGGAAAUAUUAAACUCUUAAUUUCUUUCCUACAUAUUUCCAUGUGUCCUUUAUCACCUCCUCGUCCUUUUUACAGUAAGUGUCACCCACUCCAGCCCUCAGAUGUUUAUUCCACAACACUUUUAACUCCUCGAUCUGUUAUGAAACAAUGUGUGUGUUUAGUGCAUUUUCCAUUGCAAUAUAAUUAGGUCACCUAAUUAUAAGCACGUUUCUUUAGAAAGGCAAAAUUAGAGUAUGAAUCGGCUGGCUCUCCUCCUCCUGACAAAUUUUAACAGGAAUUUAUUUAAUCAAUGUAAAAUAAAAUAUCAGAGCGCACACAAACUUUAGACUUUACUCCUUAAAGCUUUAAGGGCUGCAGCUGAGCUGUGCGUUGCAUUUCACAACUAUAAAGAAUUAUUUCCAGUUUGGGCUGGCUUGGAUUUGUCUACUUUGAUUUAAAUUGAUUGAAUCCAUUUUUAACAUUGCUGCUGUCUUUGCAUUUUUGGAGGCUGACUGUCUUCAAGUUGAUUCACAUCUCCCACCCCCUUAGUCUUACGGCCUUUUUCCAAUUUUGAUUGAAACCUGGCAGGCUCUGCUAAAGGAAAUAACUCACAUCCAUAUUAAUUUAAAUAAUUAAAAUGUGUUUAGUUCUUAAAGUGGUGUUCGCUAAUUUCUGCCUUUGCUCUCCAUUCUUCCCCCAGUCCCCAAAGGGCACUUUUUAGCAAUUUGAAAUAAUAAAGCUUGGGGGUGUGGGGAGGAGUAAAGUUUCUUAGCAAAUAAUCUGUUCCAGAUUUUAGUACACAAAGAAUUAUGUAUACUGAUAUUGAUGGAAGGAGGGGGGAGUGGUUUCUUUGUAACAAGCUUGUUUCAAGGCUUCUAAUGUGGGGCUCCUUAAAUGUGAAACUUGUUGGGUCAAACCCUGCAGUCCUUACUCGGGCAAAACUUUGACUGAAGUUAGCGGGAGUGAGAGUAUUGCCAGAGGAAGGCCUGUGGGAUUUGGCCCCUUGUUAUUAAUCCAUCCAGACUGAGACUUGAACUAUAAACUCCUUCUUAAAAUGCAUCUCACGAUUGUACUGAAUAUUCUGCUUCCUCACAUAGCCCAGACUUCCAAGGAGAACUGAAACCCUAACUGCAGAGUCCAGAAUGCAAGCCCAGCUAAGAGCGCAUUUAAAACAAACGAUCCCUGUUCCCACUUCCUCUUCUGUUUGCUUCAGUCUCAGGAACUGGGCUUUAAACUUGUCUUCCUGACUUUCCCCUCCUUCGAUAUCCAAGAACAGCCAAAAUAACGAAUCGAGAGCAAACACCCACAGAGUCUGUCCCUUCCAUAUUUCCUUUUUUAUUCUUUAUUUAAGGAUAGAACCCUAGUUCCACUCAUUUUCCUUCUCUUUCUAGAUACAUUUUUGUUUAGUUUUUUGCCAGAAUUGAAAAGCAACCAGCAGAGAGAGCAGCUUGAACAUGUUAUUUUCUGCAGUUGUUUACUGGCUCUGUGGAUGGUGCUUGUUCCCAGAGCUCUGAGCCUCUCUAUAAUUAAACCUUUUUUAAUUGUUAGGUUGGAAACAUCAUUCCAGGGACUUUCCAAGGGUUACCAAGUCCAAAUGAGGAAGCCAGUACAGAUAACUAUUUCAUGACUGACUUGCUUGGAGCCUGGCUUUUUCAUUGAAUCUGAUCUCCUGUACUCUGAUUACUCAAAGGUCUCAGAACGAGAGUGGAGUCUGUGCCACAGUGGGCACAAUCCUGCAUUCCUUGCACACCCAACCCACGUGGAUUUGAAUGUGAGUUUUGGUUGCACAAGGAAUGCAGGAUUGGACUCUCUGUUACAUGCCCCAUAUCAAUCAACUCACCAAAUUGUAUGUAUGUUAUGUUUAAUAUUGUUGCACAUAUUUUGUGCCUUAUAUUAAAUGUAUGCAAUAGGAUACACAUACACUUACUAUGGGAACUGUAGCUUUCUGUUUCAAAACCUCUUUGCAUUUAGGGUCAAAUGCUGGUCAUACUGCUGUCCAGUGAGAAUUUUGAUGGAAUCUGGAUUUAGGCUGUAAGAGCCUGACUUUCAGCCACGAGAUUUCAAUGCAGAGUACCACAGUUUGAAAAAUUGGAAUUGGACAUGUACUGUCAUAUUGUUUGGGCCAGGUGGCGAAGACUCCAGCACAGGGAAAUUUAAACUGAUCUCUAACUGGUCUCAUAACCAGAGAACACUUUAUUUCAACGUGCUUGCCUCAGAUGGAUCCACAAGAACUACAAGCCUCAGUACAUUGUUAAAAGAUAGAGGAAUAAUCCUUAGUCUUUACUCUGAUUAACUCCCAGUGACUAUAAUGAGUGGUUAGACUAAGGGCCAAGUUUAAACCAAAUAAAGAUUCAGGAUUUGGA
Non-coding RNA from Caretta caretta (loggerhead turtle), 3643 nucleotides. NCBI's taxonomy places the organism in Eukaryota, Metazoa, Chordata, Testudines, Cheloniidae. The record is from RefSeq and is a predicted model, not a curated record.